This 311-nucleotide long non-coding RNA is filed under the name Phoenix dactylifera (date palm). RNAcentral's name for it is "long non-coding RNA (PDAC_LNC003894)". Lineage: Eukaryota; Viridiplantae; Streptophyta; Magnoliopsida; Arecales; Arecaceae. The record is from RNAcentral.
AAGAAUAUUUGUUAAAAGAAACAUUUACUGAAUCGGCCGACAAUGGUUUGAUAGAUUGGUGUUCUGAAGGUACUGCUAAUGAUGAGGUCCCACCUGGUUUAGAUAAUUCGGAUGUUAUGAUGGUCAAUGAUAAGUGCUGAAUAAUUUAUAAUUUAGUUAUCUUUUCAUAGCACUUAUCAAUGUUCUUAAACUAAUAAAUACAUACUUUACCAUAAAAUUGAAUAAACAUUGAAAUAAAUUUAAAAUAUGGUAAGAGGUAAAUAAUUCUUUUCUCAAAACAGACUUUGAACUUGUCUCUCUCCUGGUUGUAA